Molecule: ribosomal RNA, 440 nt
Filed under: uncultured bacterium
Lineage: Bacteria
Description: partial 16S ribosomal RNA
Rfam family: Bacterial small subunit ribosomal RNA
Source: RNAcentral
CCUACGGGGGGCUGCAGUGGGGGAUAUUGCACAAUGGAGGAAACUCUGAUGCAGCAACGCCGCGUGAGGGAAGAAGGUCUUCGGAUUGUAAACCUCUGUCCUCAGGGACGAUAAUGACGGUACCUGAGGAGGAAGCUCCGGCUAACUAUGUGCCAGCAGCCGCGGUAAUACGUAGGGAGCAAGCGUUGUCCGGAUUUACUGGGUGUAAAGGGUGCGUAGGCGGUCUUUUAAGUCUGAUGUGAAAUCUUGCGGCUCAACCGCAAGCGGUCAUUGGAAACUGGGAGACUUGAGUGCAGAAGAGGAAAGCGGAAUUCCACGUGUAGCGGUGAAAUGCGUAGAGAUGUGGAGGAACACCAGUGGCGAAGGCGGCUUUCUGGUCUGUAACUGACGCUGAGGCGCGAAAGCGUGGGUAGCAAACAGGAUUAGAUACCCCAGUAGUC